GUGAGGAAUAUUGGUCAAUGGGCGAGAGCCUGAACCAGUCAAGUCGCGUGAAGGAAGAAGGAUCUAUGGUUCGUAAACUUCUUUUGCAGGGGAAUAAAGUGCGGGACGUGUCCUGUUUUGUAUGUACCCUGAGAAUAAGGAUCGGCUAACUCCGUGCCAGCAGCCGCGGUAAUACGGAGGAUCCGAGCGUUAUCCGGAUUUAUUGGGUUUAAAGGGUGCGUAGGUGGUUUGAUAAGUCAGCGGUGAAAGUUUGCAGCUUAACUGUAAAAAUGCCGUUGAAACUGUCGGACUUGAGUGUAAAUGAGGUAGGCGGAAUGCGUGGUGUAGCGGUGAAAUGCAUAGAUAUCACGCAGAACUCCGAUUGCGAAGGCAGCUUACUAAGCUACAACUGACACUGAAGCACGAAAGCGUGGGGAUCAAACAGGAUUAGAUACCCCGGUAGUCC
RNAcentral lists this ribosomal RNA (445 nucleotides) under uncultured bacterium. RNAcentral's name for it is "partial 16S ribosomal RNA". It matches the Rfam family "Bacterial small subunit ribosomal RNA", at positions 354 to 796 of the family's 1533-position model. The record is from RNAcentral.